AGGACAUUCAUCCAAUACAAACAACCACAAGAUACUAUUUUCCCCUCACUGAAGAUUUAUGGGAAGUCAAAAGUCUUAUUAUGGGAAUUGCAAAAGUUCAUCAAUGGAUCUCAGGCACACACUAACAUCACUCAUCUGUGCUGAAGUGCAGAGGAAGAGACACUCGGCCUUUUGUGACUGCCAUCAUAAUACUGCCAGCACCCAUAAUAGUAAUUGACAAGGUGCAGAAAGAAGGUGAAAAUGGAUAGUAACAUUGGACUGGUAGAUGGCAUGCUCUAUCAAUCCCUAUUAUUAUUGCUCAUGUUUGUAGAAUUUUAGGUAAAGUAUUUUGUAUAGAAGAUCAUUCUUGUAAAAAAGUUCUCGUAAAAUACAAAUUUU
This is a long non-coding RNA of Hyla sarda, 378 nucleotides long. RefSeq lists it as uncharacterized. NCBI's taxonomy places the organism in Eukaryota, Metazoa, Chordata, Amphibia, Anura, Hylidae. The record is from RefSeq and is a predicted model, not a curated record. The transcript is spliced from 3 exons.